CGCCCCCUAUAGCUAGAAAAAAAAUCAAGAACGGUGGGAUCUGGGGCUGUCUCUUUUCGCCCCCAUAGCAAUAAAUAAUAAAUAAAAAUCAAGAACGGUGGAAUUUGGGGCUUUGUUUUUUGCCCCUAGAGCAAAAAAGAAAUAAUAAAAACCAAGAACGGUGUGAUCCAGAGCUCUGUUUUUUCGCCCCCUAUGGUUAGAUAGAACUAAUAAAAAUAAAGAACAAUGGGAUUUGGGGCUCCGUUUUUUCGGCCCCUAUAGCUACACAGGAUUAAUAAAAAUCAAGAGC
This 289-nucleotide long non-coding RNA is filed under the name Brachypodium distachyon (stiff brome). RNAcentral's name for it is "long non-coding RNA (BDIS_LNC002319)". The record is from RNAcentral. Lineage: Eukaryota; Viridiplantae; Streptophyta; Magnoliopsida; Poales; Poaceae.